ACAGCAGUAGCCACGGUAAUACAGAGGGUGCGAGCGUUAAUUGGAUUUACUGGGCGUAAAGCGUGCGUAGGCGGCUUUUUAAGUCGGAUGUGAAAUCCCUGAGCUUAACUUAGGAAUUGCAUUCGAUACUGGGAAGCUAGAGUAUGGGAGAGGAUGGUAGAAUUCCAGGUGUAGCGGUGAAAUGCGUAGAGAUCUGGAGGAAUACCGAUGGCGAAGGCAGCCAUCUGGCCUAAUACUGACGCUGAGGUACGAAAGCAUGGGGAGCAAACAGGAUUAGAUACCCCCGUAGUCCCUGUCUCUUAUAC
RNAcentral lists this ribosomal RNA (305 nucleotides) under uncultured bacterium. RNAcentral describes it as "partial 16S ribosomal RNA". It matches the Rfam family "Bacterial small subunit ribosomal RNA", at positions 505 to 807 of the family's 1533-position model. The record is from RNAcentral.